AGGAUAAUAGUUAAAUAUAAUUUUUAAUUUGCAUUUAAAAGACAUUGAUUAAAAUCAAUUUAUCUUA
This 67-nucleotide transfer RNA is filed under the name Eucryptorrhynchus scrobiculatus. RNAcentral's name for it is "tRNA-Ala". It matches the Rfam family "tRNA". From Rfam's summary of the family: Transfer RNA (tRNA) molecules are approximately 80 nucleotides in length. Their secondary structure includes four short double-helical elements and three loops (D, anti-codon, and T loops). The record is from RNAcentral. Lineage: Eukaryota; Metazoa; Arthropoda; Insecta; Coleoptera; Curculionidae.